UUUAUGGAGAGUUUGAUCCUGGCUCAGGACGAACGCUGGCGGCGUGCCUAAUACAUGCAAGUCGAGCGGACCUUAUAAGAGCU
RNAcentral lists this ribosomal RNA (83 nucleotides) under Alkalihalobacterium chitinilyticum. Its description in RNAcentral is "partial 16S ribosomal RNA". It matches the Rfam family "Bacterial small subunit ribosomal RNA", at positions 1 to 83 of the family's 1533-position model. Lineage: Bacteria; Bacillati; Bacillota; Bacilli; Caryophanales; Bacillaceae. The record is from RNAcentral.